Molecule: long non-coding RNA, 230 nt
Organism: Columba livia (rock pigeon)
Lineage: Eukaryota; Metazoa; Chordata; Aves; Columbiformes; Columbidae
Exons: 2
Source: RefSeq, a predicted model, not a curated record
AGGAAGCUCCUGCCCUUCUCCUCCAACACCAAAGCCCAGCAUGCCUGCAGUGCUCUCCUCUGGGGAGACAAUGGGGACAGGGCCACCAGCACCAACAAGAAGGCCACCACAGUGCCGGUGACCUGUAUGCUGAGGACCAGAGGCGUGAAGAAAACAGCACAACGUGCCCCAAGAUCUCUCCAAAUGUCCCGGUGUCAGAAAGGCAAUAAAAGGUUCUGCUUUAAAUAUGA